GAAGGAAUGUAGGGAGAAGGGGGGGGCAAUGACAAAAACAGGUGCAAGUUCGUCUCGGGCACAAGGGAAGGGAGAAAGGGGGGCUGGGGGAAACUACAUUUAGAUGGAUACAUUUAGAUCAAAUAAAAUAGUGUUGCAAAUGGAAAAAUACCCUCCUGUGGCCCAGUACAUUAUCAUUGCCAAAUUUGAAAAAA
Amblyraja radiata (thorny skate) is the source of this 194-nucleotide long non-coding RNA. RefSeq lists it as uncharacterized. The transcript is spliced from 4 exons. The record is from RefSeq and is a predicted model, not a curated record. NCBI's taxonomy places the organism in Eukaryota, Metazoa, Chordata, Chondrichthyes, Rajiformes, Rajidae.